GAUGAACGCUGGCGGCGUGCCUAAUACAUGCAAGUCGAGCGAACAGACGAGGAGCUUGCUCCUUUGACGUUAGCGGCGGACGGGUGAGUAACACGUGGGUAACCUACCUAUAAGACUGGGAUAACUUCGGGAAACCGGAGCUAAUACCGGAGAAUAUCUCGAACCGCAUGGUUCGAUAGUGAAAGAUGGCUCUGCGAUCACUUAUAGAUGGACCUGCGCCGUAUUAGCUAGUUGGUAAGGUAACGGCUUACCAAGGCAACGAUACGUAGCCGACCUGAGAGGGUGAUCGGCCACACUGGAACUGAGACACGGUCCAGACUCCUACGGGAGGCAGCAGUAGGGAAUCUUCCGCAAUGGGCGAAAGCCUGACGGAGCAACGCCGCGUGAGUGAUGAAGGUCUUCGGAUCGUAAAACUCUGUUAUUAGGGAAGAACAAAAGUGUAAGUAACUGUGCACGUCUUGACGGUACCUAAUCAGAAAGCCACGGCUAACUACGUG
This 497-nucleotide ribosomal RNA is filed under the name uncultured bacterium. Its description in RNAcentral is "partial 16S ribosomal RNA". It matches the Rfam family "Bacterial small subunit ribosomal RNA", at positions 28 to 507 of the family's 1533-position model. The record is from RNAcentral.